GUCUCUGUAGCGCAAUGGACAGCGCGCGCGCGUUGGACUUCUAAUGCAAAGGUCGUGGGUACGAAUCUCACCUGGGAUG
This is a non-coding RNA of Trichonephila clavipes, 79 nucleotides long. NCBI's taxonomy places the organism in Eukaryota, Metazoa, Arthropoda, Arachnida, Araneae, Nephilidae. The record is from the annotation of a GenBank genome assembly.